This 497-nucleotide ribosomal RNA is filed under the name uncultured bacterium. RNAcentral's name for it is "partial 16S ribosomal RNA". It matches the Rfam family "Bacterial small subunit ribosomal RNA", at positions 28 to 507 of the family's 1533-position model. The record is from RNAcentral.
GAUGAACGCUGGCGGCGUGCCUAAUACAUGCCAGUCGAGCGAACAGAUGAGGAGCUUGCUCCUCUGACGUUAGCGGCGGACGGGUGAGUAACACGUGGAUAGCCUACCUAUAAGACUGGGAUAACUUCGGGAAACCGGAGCUAAUACCGGAUAAUAUAUUGAACCGCAUGGUUCAAUAGUGAAAGACGGUUUUGCUGUCACUUAUAGAUGGAUCCGCGCCGCAUUAGCUAGUUGGUAAGGUAACGGCUUACCAAGGCAACGAUGCGUAGCCGACCUGAGAGGGUGAUCGGCCACACUGGAACUGAGACACGGUCCAGACUCCUACGGGAGGCAGCAGUAGGGAAUCUUCCGCAAUGGGCGAAAGCCUGACGGAGCAACGCCGCGUGAGUGAUGAAGGUCUUCGGAUCGUAAAACUCUGUUAUUAGGGAAGAACAAAUGUGUAAGUAACUAUGCACGUCUUGACGGUACCUAAUCAGAAAGCCACGGCUAACUACGUG